GACGAUCGCUGGCGGCGUGCCUAAUACAUGCAAGUAGAACGCAGUUGCGAACGGGUGAGUAACGCGUAGGUAACUGCCUGGUAGCGGGGGAUAACUAUUGGAAACGAUAGCUAAUACCGCAUACUACCAGAUGGACCUGCGUUGUAGUUGUGAGUGGGUGAGGUAACGGCUCACCAAGGCAACGAUACAUAGCCGACCUUAGGAGGUUGGGGGGAAAAAUGGGACUGAGACACGGCCCAGAAGGGAGGGGGGGGGAGACGGGGGGGGGGGGGGGCAGGGGGGUGAACCCUGACCGGACAACGCCGCGUGAGUGAAGAAGGGGGUCGGAUGGGGACGCUCUGUUGUUAAGGAAGCGGUACUUAACCAGAAAGGGACGGCUAACUACGUGCCAGCCGCCGCGGUAAUUC
This 407-nucleotide ribosomal RNA is filed under the name uncultured bacterium. RNAcentral's name for it is "partial 16S ribosomal RNA". It matches the Rfam family "Bacterial small subunit ribosomal RNA", at positions 28 to 526 of the family's 1533-position model. The record is from RNAcentral.